This 752-nucleotide ribosomal RNA is filed under the name uncultured bacterium. RNAcentral's name for it is "bacterial SSU rRNA". It matches the Rfam family "Bacterial small subunit ribosomal RNA", at positions 67 to 818 of the family's 1533-position model. The record is from RNAcentral.
CUCAUAUUGAACCUAGUGAUGUAUGAGUUAGUGGCGGACGGGUGAGUAACGCGUGGAGAACCUGCCGUAUACUGGGGGAUAACACUUAGAAAUAGGUGCUAAUACCGCAUAAGCGCACAGCUUCGCAUGAAGCAGUGUGAAAAACUCCAGUGGUAUACGAUGGAUCCGCGUCUGAUUAGCUUGUUGGCGGGGUAAAGGCCCACCAAGGCGACGAUCAGUAGCCGGCCUGAGAGGGUGAACGGCCACAUUGGGACUGAGACACGGCCCAAACUCCUACGGGAGGCAGCAGUGGGGAAUAUUGCACAAUGGGGGAAACCCUGGUGCAGCGACGCCGCGUGAGUGAAGAAGUAUUUCGGUACGUAAAGCUCUAUCAGCAGGGAAGAAAUAAAGUCCUUCGGACUUUGGACGGUACCUGACUAAGAAGCCCCGGCUAACUACGUGCCAGCAGCCGCGGUAAUACGUAGGGGGCAAGCGUUAUCCGGAUUUACUGGGUGUAAAGGGAGCGUAGACGGCAGCGCAAGUCUGGAGUGAAAUCCCAUGGCUUAACCAUGGAACUGCUUUGGAAACUGUGCAGCUGGAGUGCAGGAGAGGUAAGCGGAAUUCCUAGUGUAGCGGUGAAAUGCGUAGAUAUUAGGAGGAACACCAGUGGCGAAGGCGGCUUACUGGACUGUAACUGACGUUGAGGCUCGAAAGCGUGGGGAGCAAACAGGAUUAGAUACCCUGGUAGUCCACGCUGUAAACGAUGAUUACUA